AAUCAUUUUAUCUUGAUGAAAACUCAAGAGAAAGUA
RNAcentral lists this transfer RNA (36 nucleotides) under Indosylvirana attigua (similar frog). RNAcentral describes it as "partial tRNA-Gly". Lineage: Eukaryota; Metazoa; Chordata; Amphibia; Anura; Ranidae. The record is from RNAcentral.